GGCGCACGGGUGAGUAACGCGUGGAUAAUCUACCCUUAAGUCGGGAAUAACUUAUCGAAAGGUGAACUAAUACCCGAUAACACUGCAUAACUACUGUUGUGUAGUCAAAGAAGGCCUCUGCUUGCAAGCUUUCGCUGAAGGAUGAGUCCGCGUACCAUUAGCUAGUUGGUAGGGUAAUGGCCUACCAAGGUUAUGAUGGUUAGCUGGUCUGAGAGGAUGAUCAGCCACACUGGAACUGAAACACGGUCCAGACUCCUACGGGAGGCAGCAGUGAGGAAUAUUGCGCAAUUGGGGCAACCCUGACGCAGCAACGCCGCGUGAGUGAGGAAGGUUUUCGGAUUGUAAAGCUCUGUCGAGCGGAAAGAAAUGCAUGAUGGCUAAUAUCCAUCAUGCUUGACGGUACCGCUAGAGGAAGCACCGGCUAACUCCGUGCCAGCAGCCGCGGUAAUACGGGGGGUGCAAGCGUUGUUCGGAAUUAUUGGGCGUAAAGAGCGUGUAGGCGGCUAGACAAGUCAGAUGUGAAAUCCCUGGGCUUAACCCA
RNAcentral lists this ribosomal RNA (541 nucleotides) under uncultured Syntrophobacterales bacterium. RNAcentral describes it as "bacterial SSU rRNA". It matches the Rfam family "Bacterial small subunit ribosomal RNA", at positions 97 to 616 of the family's 1533-position model. The record is from RNAcentral. Lineage: Bacteria; Pseudomonadati; Thermodesulfobacteriota; Syntrophobacteria; Syntrophobacterales.